AUUGAACGCUGGCGGCAUGCCUUGCACAUGCAAGUCGAACGGCAGCACGGGAGCAAUCCUGGUGGCGAGUGGCGAACGGGUGAGUAAAGUAUCGGAACGUGCCCAGUCGUGGGGGAUAACGUAGCGAAAGUUACGCUAAUACCGCAUACGAUCUAUGGAUGAAAGCGGGGGAUCGCAAGACCUCGCGCGAUUGGAGCGGCCGAUAUCAGAUUAGGUAGUUGGUGGGGUAAAGGCUCACCAAGCCGACGAUCUGUAGCUGGUCUGAGAGGACGACCAGCCACACUGGGACUGAGACACGGCCCAGACUCCUACGGGAGGCAGCAGUGGGGAAUUUUGGACAAUGGGCGCAAGCCUGAUCCAGCCAUGCCGCGUGCAGGAUGAAGGCCUUCGGGUUGUAAACUGCUUUUGUACGGAACGAAAAGGUUUGACUUAAUAAGCUGAGCUCAUGACGGUACCGUAAGAAUAAGCACCGGCUAACUACGUGCCAGCAGCCGCCGUAA
Molecule: ribosomal RNA, 500 nt
Filed under: uncultured bacterium
Lineage: Bacteria
Description: partial 16S ribosomal RNA
Rfam family: Bacterial small subunit ribosomal RNA
Source: RNAcentral